UUAGAUAUAGUCUUCAAUAUGCUCAGACUGAUUAUCUGGUAAGUGGAGGUCAUGGAUCAGAUUGGCAGUUAAUGAGAGUAUAAUUAGUAACCUCCUCCAGUCCUCCCUCCCUCCCUCUCUCCUUCACUGUCAUUUGGAGGUAGGAGGAGGAGGAUCAUUAUGCCAUUAGUUAAUUCAUAAUGUCUGUUGAUACUCAAUUGAACUGGACGAUAAAGGAGGAGAUAUUAAUGGAGACACACCCCUACCUCCUCUGGAGAAGUAACAACAACAACAAUAAACAACAAACAAGUAAACAAACAAGAGGAGGAGGAGACAGUAAUACAGGACAAGUUAAAGGUAUGUACAUGUAUCAAUUAAUAAUUAAUUCCACCCAUUGCAUUGACUGAUGAGAGACAAAGCUGCUGGCUAUUAGAAUCAACUCCUCCUACUGAUACAGUCUCUGCUAUGAUACCUUUAGCUCCUGCACCAAUGAAGGAGCAAACACAGGCGGUGGCUUAGCAGUUUAAUGAUGAGUUACUUAAGAAGGAGGCCACCACUGACUCAAGGAGUGAGACCUUCUCUUCAAUAAUGAAAGUGUGAUUCCAUUGAUAAACUCCGUAAAAGGUGUGAGCUGAGACCAUUGAUUGAGAGAUACAGGACUCACAACAGUUCAUGGACUUCUACCAGUUUACGUUUAAUGUUGUCAAAAACUCGGGCAGAAAGGACUA
Long non-coding RNA from Amphimedon queenslandica, 707 nucleotides. RefSeq lists it as uncharacterized. Lineage: Eukaryota; Metazoa; Porifera; Demospongiae; Haplosclerida; Niphatidae. The transcript is spliced from 5 exons. The record is from RefSeq and is a predicted model, not a curated record.